Molecule: ribosomal RNA, 373 nt
Filed under: uncultured organism
Description: partial 16S ribosomal RNA
Rfam family: Bacterial small subunit ribosomal RNA
Source: RNAcentral
GUAGGUGGCAAGCGUUGUCCGGAAUUAUUGGGCGUAAAGCGCGCGCAGGCGGUCCUUUAAGUCUGAUGUGAAAGCCCACGGGCUCAACCGUGAGGGUCAUUGGAAACUGGGGGACUUGAGUACAGAAGAGGAAAGCGGAAUUCCAAGUGUAGCGGUGAAAUGCGUAGAGAUUUGGAGGAACACCAGUGGCGAAGGCGGCUUUCUGGUCUGUAACUGACGCUGAGGCGCGAAAGCGUGGGGAGCAAACAGGAUUAGAUACCCUGGUAGUCCACGCCGUAAACGAUGAGUGCUAGGUGUUAGGGGGUUUCCGCCCCUUAGUGCUGCAGCUAACGCAUUAAGCACUCCGCCUGGGGAGUACGGCCGCAAAGGCUGA